RNAcentral lists this transfer RNA (82 nucleotides) under Limnohabitans sp. 103DPR2. It matches the Rfam family "tRNA". From Rfam's summary of the family: Transfer RNA (tRNA) molecules are approximately 80 nucleotides in length. Their secondary structure includes four short double-helical elements and three loops (D, anti-codon, and T loops). RNAcentral also lists the same sequence under 1 other name. The record is from Rfam by way of RNAcentral. Lineage: Bacteria; Pseudomonadati; Pseudomonadota; Betaproteobacteria; Burkholderiales; Comamonadaceae.
GCCCGGGUGGUGAAAUUGGUAGACGCAGGGGACUCAAAAUCCCCCGCCGCAAGGCGUGCCGGUUCGAUUCCGGCCUCGGGCA